Long non-coding RNA from Passer domesticus (house sparrow), 5562 nucleotides. RefSeq lists it as uncharacterized. NCBI's taxonomy places the organism in Eukaryota, Metazoa, Chordata, Aves, Passeriformes, Passeridae. The transcript has 3 exons. The record is from RefSeq and is a predicted model, not a curated record.
GCUGGAGCAGCCUGUCCUUGGAGGACUGCACCCCGUGGAAAGAGACCCACGCCACAGCAGUUUUGGGAGCACUGUGUGCCUGUGGGAGGGACUCAGGGUGCAGCAGGGGCCUUGAGUGGUGCACGGGAAAUGAAGGUUGUGCCAAGCUGAGAUCAGCAGUGAUGCCUUGAGCCAAUUAAGGAGCAAUGUUAAUGGGCUCUCUGUGAAUCCUCCUAAGCCUUCCACACCAGAAAGGAUGAUGCCCACAACACAGAGCUGAGCUGAGCAUUUAAAGCCUACAGAAAUAAGAGCAGAUUUUCAAGUCUUCAUUAUUAAGCAGCUUCCCUACUGCUUGUGUUGAGAGGGAAGUGUGCUCUGUAAUAGGAAGACACAGAAGCGGUUUCAUCUCUUAUGAAGAUUCAUAUGGGUGCACGAGUGUGUGUGUGCAGGAACCACUGGUGGGACCUCUAGGACUUCCCAUGCCUUGUCCCAACUGUGUGCCUCUGCUGCCUCUGCUCUUGAAGCGGCACCUGCUGUGGAAAGGGCUAAAGACUUCAGUGCAUUUUCAGCUCAUCAUAAUGGUUUGAAGAUUCCUCUCACCAGUACAGUGAAGAUUUUGAUGAAGGAACCACAUUUUUAUAUGUAGCAAUAACAGAUUUUUUCUUCUACUUUACAACACAUGCUAACAGCUGUUUACAAAGUAGUGAUGGUGGAAUGCAGUCCAGUGGGUAUACUGAGUAUUCAUUUAUCCAGAGGGAUUACACUGUGGUGAACAGCAUUUGGACUUCAAUUUAGUAUGCAUCCAGCCGAAUUAUGCGAUUAGCUGAUAUGCAAUAAACCAGAACAGAAACACAUGCAGUCAAAUGGUGCCAGAUAAAAAGCAUACAAUUCUUAUACAGGGUCUUGUAAUAUUGUACAGGUAAAUGAUAAAUACAUAGUUAUAAAGAAUUUGGCUAUUUUGCCAUAUAGCUAUACUUCUUGGUGUGCUGUGUACAUAUAUCUGUAUAUGUGCAGAGCUGCACUGAUUUCAGAUCCUUUAUGUUACUCAUUAAAUAAUUUUAGUUUGUUGUUUUACUUGAAAUGUACCACACUUCAAAUGCUAGCACAAAGCAAUGUUUUUAUGUCACUUAAAAGAGGACAUAAGGCUUAAAGGCAGUCUUGUAUUAAAAAAAAGUUUCAGACAAAACUCCUCUCCCAGCAGAAACCUUGGCAUGAUUUUUAAGAACAGAAAGAAAGAUGUUUUUUGUUUCUGUUAGGAAUUUUUAUAGUUAUGGGGUCACCCCUCUCCAGACCCUCUUGCAGUGCUGUCUCCCCCCUGGACAGAGGGCAUGGGAACUGGAGGAGAGCCCACCUCCUUCCCCUGUCCUGCCACAAGGCAGCAGGGUGGAAAGAGCCCUAAGCAGAACUUUUGUCUCCAAUCACCCCUAGCAGGCUGCUGAGCACAGGAAGAGAGGAAAGAGGGGAGGCAACCAAGCUGAUAGGUUUGUCAUCCCACUGGGAGAUCCUGACUGUGGAUUUUAUCCUUUGUACUAUUGUGGGACUGACCACAGUCCUUAUCCUCAGCCUGCUCCUCAUGAGAAAACAAAGGAUUGGCAGCUCUGUCUUAUGGAUCAGCUGUGGGCAGGACGUGGGUAUACAUCAUGUGUAUAAACAUGGAUAAAAUGAAGUUACAACUGAACAAACUGUGCACCCUAAAUUGAGGGAUGCUGCUUAAUCCACCUGUGCUUGACCAUCCUGCCUGCACACAGGAGUAAGAUAGCUUUCAUCCCUCUCCAUCCAAGAGGGAUCAUGUUGUUACCUUUUCAGCUUUAUCUCUUUGCUUGAUGUUAAAGUGAUCAGUACCCUGGCAAAGCUCAGAAGGAAGGAAGCCUUUCCUUGUUUUCUCAUUUCACAGGACACAAAGCAUUGAGCAGAUUAAAGAAACAGUGAACAGACACUGGCAUGGUGACUGCUAUUCAUCCUCUGUGCCACGUGAGGCCAGAGCCUUACGGGAAAUAGCAUGUACAGAGGUAAUUAAAACUAUAUGGAUGUAUAUGCCUAAGUAGGCCACAUCAUGGCUGUAGGCAAUUUUUCCAAAAUGAUGCAAUAGGAAAGUUCUUAGCCUCAACAUGAGGCUCAGAUUAUGGAGGAACAUAAUCGUGUGAUCCCAGGUGUGUGAACAAACAGUUAAAAAAUGUGUAAUUUGUAUUAACUAUGCAACCAAAAAGAUGUAAAAAUAGGACUUCAAAAUAUUAUAAUACAACUAAUAUAUUUACAAAUAUUGUAAUCAUAAAAGAUUGCUGAAUAGCUUUCACUUUUUGAAGUGCUCUCCUUUCUCACAGAUGAAAAUAAAUUAGCAGCUCUUCAUCUUUGCCUUUCGACAGUUUAAAAAGUUGUAGGCUUUAUAUUUAAAAAAAAUUGCAAAUAUAUCUCUAGUUUGUUUUUCAAUUUGGAUUGUGAAUUUGCACCAAUUCUUCAGAACAGCUGGAGGUCUGUAGUCCAUUCUGUACAUACCUGCAUGUAUUUAUUUUUCCAUAAUUGCAUUUUCUGAAAAAUUUGGUAGAUUUAAAAAAUAUUUUAGUGCAUUUCAAUACAGAAAUGUGAAGAAAAGGAGAGAAAAAAUGUCUAUGAAUUACAUGAUAUUCUAAAACCAUGUUUCCAAAUGCAUUUAUCUGAAUUCAAGCUGUGACUUAAUAGCUGUAGCUGUAUCAACACUGUAUCAGUUUACCAUAGGAGGAAAAUAUAUGAAAUGAGACAUAACCUACUAAGGUCACUUCAGGGGCUAUCACCGAGCGGAAAAUGAAUGCUAAUAUUUUCAGAUUUAACAUGGGUAAGCUCGUCAGAACCAAUAGUUUGGGGCUGAAUUCUGAAAUGCCCUCAGUGAAAGCAAUGCAAGGGGGAUGGUCAGUGAGAUGGAAUUAUUAAAAGAUAGGGUGGAGCCAAGCCCAGCCAUAUGGUGAAUGCCAUAACCGGGGCAGACCUGUCACGGCCAAGCAAGCUGGGAAAGCAGGCGAAAAGAAAUUGUCCUGAAAGAACAACAUGCAUCCCGCCACGAAGAAAUGAGGGCAGAGGGCUGUGGGCAACGCGUUGGCCAGUGACUGACACUUGCACUGAUGAAAGACAACACUGGAAGUUGAGCCCCAGCUAUGCAAAGUUGAUUAGGGUAGAUGGGACCCUUCAUCAUGCCUUAAAAAAAUCAUCGCAGCUCAAAACACUCACUUCCAAUAUGCCUAAUAAAACCCUCGGUCGUUCGUGCAAGUUGGGUGAGUAACAUGUCUAUCAGCAAAAUAGCUGCAUAACUGGGUGCAUCAGACAUAGCCCUUCAUGCCCUCCAAACCCCAGGGUCCUUUCUACCAACAAAAGAUGUGAGGGUCCUGCUGCAACUGUGAGAGAAGCCUGAGACUUACUGUAGCCAUUCUUCAUUCUUCCUCAGUUGUGUAUUUUUGUGAAAAGGCUAUAUGUUAAAAAACAGAAACAUUUGCAUUUUGAUAAGUGGUAUAUAAUCAACAGAGCCAUUAACUAGAUAUUUAAAUAACUAUCAAAAUUUCAUCUCAGUCCUCAAAUACUUUGUUAGUUGGAUGGCUCUCGUGGGAUAAAUAACCUUAGUACCAUUUACUUCAGGUGCUUUCUGAACAGAACUCUCAUGCAGCAAAUUGCAAAUAUUACCUGCCCCAGUGCUCCCCCAGUUUGCACUGGCACACUCCAGCAUUCUCUGGGGUGACCUGCUGGUCCCUAAGGUGGGCCAAGAUUUCUGGAUAUGCCUGACUGGUGUUGACUCCGGUUUCUUGUGUCUGUGUGGUAUGGGAUACACCAAUGUGGUCUAGUGCAGAGCUAACUUGUCUAGUGCUGAUUCUGUGAUCUUUGCAGCAGUCCAUGGUAUGAUACAGCUGAUGCAUUUUUAUUAUCUGCAUCUUUUUGCCAAUAAUCAGAUUUGCAUGAGGUUUUAAAAAUUCAGAAGUAACUCAUGUCAAAUUUUGGUACUUCCCUGAGCCCUCCGAAAAGACAAACCUACUCUAUGUCAGGAAGACAUUGAGUAAAAUAUUUUUGUGGUACUGAUCAGAUGAGUGUAUCUCCACACUUAUAGUAUAGAAAUGAGAAGAAAAAUCAGUCCAUUAAGCCCAGGAAGACAGGUCCUUGUUGUUAUGUAACCUUCAUAUUUUCACUGUGCUCUUGGGCUAUCUUCCACCUAGUUCACACUGCAGCUACUGAGCCCAUUAAUGAGCAUGCACCUCUCUUAUAUGCACGGUAUAAAUCCAGUACACAUUCUCACACGUAUAGUCACUGAGGUUUGUUUAUCAGGUUUCUGCUUUGACAUGAUACAGAUCAAGUUGCCAUGUUCAUACAAGAAAAUUAUGUGUAGCUAGCACUCUUCUUUGGUAUUUGAGCAAACCAGCACAAAAUAGGUUGCACUUGUAUUAAUAGUUUCUCUUCUGUACAGGGUGAUUAUGUCCAAAAAUAUAUCCACAAAUGGUUCCUGGCCACAAUAGCUCCUAAACCAUGCCCAGAACCUGUUUGAAAGAGUUCUUAUUGGCCUGGGCCAAAGUUCUGCUGGGGACAAUUUAAUUGUACAGCUGAUGGAACACCACAGCUGGAAAAAGUCCCAGGCAUUACUUAGUUUCCUGGUAUGGGUAUAGUUAGCCUGACCAGGCACUGACCUAUGAAAAAAAUACAGUUUUAAAAAUAAAACCUCAGGAAAAAAGCAUUCUGCUUAAUUGUGAUUUUUUCUUUGCACCCUUAUCUCUUGGUGCAUUGUUUGUCAUUUUGUAAACAUUCACCUAGAUAGUUUUUUGCAAAUGCUAGAAUGGGUAAAUGCUCUUUUUCUCAAAUAGGAAUACUAUUCACCCAUUCCUUUUUGUCUGAUUUUUUAUAAAGUAGAAACCUUUACAAGGUUUUGCUUUAAAAAUUAAUUUCUCUCUUCAUUUUCAUUUUCAGGUGGGAAACUUAAAGAAAAAUUACAUCUUUGUUAGGUUUUAAUUUUUCUAGGAAUAAUCCAUCCAGUACAGCUCAACAUCUGUAAACCUCAAGAGCAAGUUGUCAUACUUCAGACAAGCACAGAGAAGUGAAGGAAUUUUCUAAGAAGCCAGAUAUAAUUUUAUGGCAGUGAAUUGCUACCCUAUGAACACUGAGGAAUUGUGGCAUUCCACUUCUCAUUAUGUAUGCCCACAAGAGAAAUAUUAAACUAGACUUUUCUUUGACUGUUGCCUUCGUUCUCUCUUUCUCUCGUACAUACUUAUAAAAUAAAGAUCAAACUUCCUUGAAUUCUUUUUAUCUGCUUUGAAGUCUAAGGAAAACUUUUUUGGAAAUUCUAUUUUCAUCUCUGUGAAUUUAUUCUCUAAUGCUUCUAACUUGUCAAAUAUGGACUGUGCUGUUCAAGGAGCAGUUAAGAAAAAAAAGCCCAUCUUUGAAUCUACAUGCACGGACAAUCAUUCUCACAAUUCAUGAAAGCCCUCAAAAACGUGGAGCCACAAUAUACUCUUCUAUUACCAUUUCUUUGGAAUGUUCUGAGGCAUGUCUGCUAAAUUCUGUGGAGGGGAAAAAACAAGGUCUUUUUUUCUUCUUUUUGUCCAGUAAAUUACUUUGAGUAUGUAGAAGAAGCACAUCCUA